This 707-nucleotide ribosomal RNA is filed under the name Aphelenchoides sp. DFSY-8. Its description in RNAcentral is "partial large subunit ribosomal RNA". It matches the Rfam family "Eukaryotic large subunit ribosomal RNA", at positions 344 to 958 of the family's 3401-position model. Lineage: Eukaryota; Metazoa; Nematoda; Chromadorea; Rhabditida; Aphelenchoididae. The record is from RNAcentral.
ACAAGUACCGUGAGGGAAAGUUGAAAACAACUCUGGAGAGAGAGUUAAAAGAGCGUGAAACCGGUGGGGUGGAAACGGAUGGAGCCGACGAAUAUGACCUGCUCUAGUGGUGUGAAGCUGGCUCUGGCUGGUGGAUCGCUGCGAUUGUGUGGGUGCAGUGCGCUGAGGCGCGUGGUUGUCCGGUUUAAUGGUUGGGUUCAUAGCGGACUUCGCCUUCGGGUGUCGUUGCUUCUCUUCCGGCGGACUGUGGCGGCUGCGUUUUUUUCGUGAGUGUGUGAUGCUGGUCUCUAGUUUGUUGCUCUCUAUGGACGCUUGCGUUCGUUACUUGCUUCAUUCUUGGGAUUGGGGUUGCACCUUGCGCUACUCGGUGUCAAGUCGGUCACCCAUCCGACCCGUCUUGAAACACGGACCAAGGAGUUUACCGCAUUCGCGAGUCAUUGAGUUCUUGUAAGCUCAUAGGCGCAACGAAAGUGAAUAGUGUGCGGCCCGUGCGGCCCGGCCAAUCGGAGCAGCAUAGCCCUGUGGUUGCUUGCGAUCGCAGAGGAGGAGCGAAUGCGAUGAGACCCGAAAGAUGGUGAACUAUGCCUGAGCAGGUUGAAGGGAAGGGAAACUUUCCUGGAGGACCGGAGCGAUUCUGACGUGCAACUCGAUCGUCUGACUUGGGUAUAGGGGCGAAAGACUAAUCGAACCAUCUAGUAGCUGGUUCC